Molecule: small RNA, 265 nt
Filed under: Pongo abelii (Sumatran orangutan)
Lineage: Eukaryota; Metazoa; Chordata; Mammalia; Primates; Hominidae
Description: processed transcript
Source: RNAcentral
GCCCCGCCCUCCUCGUUUGGCGCCAAACCCUGUGAUCAAAGGCGCGCGGGUCUCCAGGCUCCGUGUUCUGGGCCCGAGUUAGAAUCCUGUCAGCUGAGGAGGUCGGGCGGGGCAGACGGGCUUCACCUUGAAAAUCUCGGGGAGACUGUGGGUACGAGGGGGGGUCCAACCCCUGACUUUGGUAUCAAAUGAGGAAAUGGAAUCGACCAAGAAAAAUAAUUAUUUGGACCGCAUUUUAUUGUAAUAAACACAAUCACGCCUUGUG